This 253-nucleotide unclassified non-coding RNA is filed under the name uncultured Caryophanales bacterium. RNAcentral's name for it is "uncultured Bacillales bacterium contains 16S-23S intergenic spacer region". It matches the Rfam family "Bacterial small subunit ribosomal RNA", at positions 524 to 776 of the family's 1533-position model. The record is from RNAcentral. Lineage: Bacteria; Bacillati; Bacillota; Bacilli; Caryophanales.
UACGUAGGGGGCGAGCGUUGUCCGGAAUUAUUGGGUGUAAAGCGCGCGCAGGCGGGUCCUUAAGUCUGAUGUGAAAUCUCGGGGCUCAACCCCGGGCGGUCAUUGGAAACUGGGAAACUUGAGUAAAGAAGAGGAGAGUGGAAUUCCACGUGUAGCGGUGAAAUGCGUAGAUAUGUGGAGGAACACCAGUGGCGAAGGCGACUCUCUGGUCUGUAACUGACGCUGAGGCGCGAAAGCGUGGGGAGCGAACAGG